This 478-nucleotide ribosomal RNA is filed under the name uncultured bacterium. RNAcentral's name for it is "partial 16S ribosomal RNA". It matches the Rfam family "Bacterial small subunit ribosomal RNA", at positions 28 to 506 of the family's 1533-position model. The record is from RNAcentral.
GAUGAACGCUGGCGGCGUGCUUAACACAUGCAAGUCGAGCGAGAAGUUUUGAAAAGAUUCUUCGGAUGAAAUUUAAAAUGGAAAGCGGCGGACGGGUGAGUAACGCGUAGGCAACCUGCCCCAUACAAAGGGAUAGCAUUUGGAAACGAAUAUUAAUACCUUAUGAAACUUAACUAGUGCAUGCUAGGUAGGUCAAAGAUUUAUCGGUAUGGGAUGGGCCUGCGUCUGAUUAGCUAGUUGGUGAGGUAACGGCUCACCAAGGCGACGAUCAGUAGCCGACCGGGGGGGGGGAAGGGCCAAAUUGGAACGGAGCAACGGUCAAAAAUCCUACGGGAGGGAGAGGGGGGGAAAAUUGGAAAAGGGGGGAAACCCUGAGGAAGAAACGGCGGGGAAAAAGGGAAGGCCUUGGGGUCGAAAAGUUUGUUUCAAGGGGAAAAAAACGGAAAGAAACCUAGGAGAAAGCCCCGGCAAACUCCGU